UAGGGAAUCUUCGGCAAUGGGGGGAACCCUGACCGAGCAACGCCGCGUGAGUGAAGAAGGUUUUCGGAUCGUAAAGCUCUGUUGUUAAGGAAGAACGAGUGUGAGAAUGGAAAGUUCAUGCUGUGACGGUACUUAACCAGAAAGGGACGGCUAACUACGUGCCAGCAGCCGCGGUAAUACGUAGGUCCCGAGCGUUGUCCGGAUUUAUUGGGCGUAAAGCGAGCGCAGGCGGUUAGAAAAGUCUGAAGUGAAAGGCAGUGGCUCAACCAUUGUAGGCUUUGGAAACUGUUUAACUUGAGGGCAGAAGGGGAGAGUGGAAUUCCAUGUGUAGCGGUGAAAUGCGUAGAUAUAUGGAGGAACACCGGUGGCGAAAGCGGCUCUCUGGUCUGUAACUGACGCUGAGGCUCGAAAGCGUGGGGAGCGAACAGG
RNAcentral lists this ribosomal RNA (429 nucleotides) under Bacteroidota bacterium. RNAcentral's name for it is "Bacteroidetes bacterium partial 16S ribosomal RNA". It matches the Rfam family "Bacterial small subunit ribosomal RNA", at positions 355 to 776 of the family's 1533-position model. Lineage: Bacteria; Pseudomonadati; Bacteroidota. RNAcentral also lists the same sequence under 1 other name. The record is from RNAcentral.